AGCGAACGCUGGCGGCAGGCUUAACACAUGCAAGUCGAGCGGGCGUAGCAAUACGUCAGCGGCAGACGGGUGAGUAACGCGUGGGAACGUACCUUUUGGUUCGGAACAACACAGGGAAACUUGUGCUAAUACCGGAUAAGCCCUUACGGGGAAAGAUUUAUCGCCGAAAGAUCGGCCCGCGUCUGAUUAGCUAGUUGGUGAGGUAACGGCUCACCAAGGCGACGAUCAGUAGCUGGUCUGAGAGGAUGAUCAGCCACAUUGGGACUGAGACACGGCCCAAACUCCUACGGGAGGCAGCAGGGGGGAAUAUUGGACAAUGGGGGCAACCCUGAUCCAGCCAUGCCGCGUGAGUGAUGAAGGCCCUAGGGUUGUAAAGCUCUUUUGUGCGGGAAGAUAAUGACGGUACCGCAAGAAUAAGCCCCGGCUAACUUCGUG
This 435-nucleotide ribosomal RNA is filed under the name uncultured bacterium. Its description in RNAcentral is "partial 16S ribosomal RNA". It matches the Rfam family "Bacterial small subunit ribosomal RNA", at positions 29 to 507 of the family's 1533-position model. The record is from RNAcentral.